RNAcentral lists this ribosomal RNA (110 nucleotides) under Microcebus murinus (gray mouse lemur). The record is from RNAcentral. Lineage: Eukaryota; Metazoa; Chordata; Mammalia; Primates; Cheirogaleidae.
GUUUAUAGCCAUACUACUCUGAACAUGAGCUUGAUCUCAGAAGCUAAGCAGAGUUUGGUCUCGUUAGUACUUGGAUGGGAGAUUCUGCAUUAUGGUGAGUUGUAUAAUUA